UGCAAACACCCAGCCUUGGCAGUCACC
This 27-nucleotide non-coding RNA is filed under the name Rattus norvegicus (Norway rat). The record is from RNAcentral. Lineage: Eukaryota; Metazoa; Chordata; Mammalia; Rodentia; Muridae.